Long non-coding RNA from Odocoileus virginianus texanus, 1018 nucleotides. RefSeq lists it as uncharacterized. The record is from RefSeq and is a predicted model, not a curated record. Lineage: Eukaryota; Metazoa; Chordata; Mammalia; Artiodactyla; Cervidae.
ACUGAGCGACUUCACUUUCACUUUCAAGGAAAUGCAGCAGAGGUGACAAUGUAGGAACUUCCAUGGCUGGGUCUGAAGAGCCCUGUAGAUUCCAUUUUUACACACUUGGAAUGUUCCAUCUCAGAGCCCUGCUCUCAUGCUGAGAGGUCACACAGAAGAGACUUCAGGCGCUCCAGUCAGCGCCAAGUCAACAGCCAGCAUCGACUAUUGCUACAAGACUGAGUCAUCCUGGAUCAUGCCAGCUCAGCUAAGCCUCCAAAUAACCACAGUCCCAGAUAACAACUGAACAGAAAAACCAUCCAGCUGAGCCUAGUCAACAUGCAGCCAUCUCCUCUCGCAAACAUCUGCCCCAGUCAACUGUUGCUGAACAGAACAAGAGCCAUCCGAACAAGAUGUGAUCGGGGUCCCGGCGCAGAUGUGGGAUUUUUGAGGAAGGCCGAGGUGACUUCUCCAGGAAGGAGCUGGAGUUUACACUCUUCUUGGUAGGAUUGUUCUGGGCUGAACUGCUGAGGAGGAUCAAGCAGCGGGCGACUAACCCCGGUCCCUCCCUCCCUCUUCGGUCUCUCGCCUCCCCUUGUGUUCAUUAAGUGGGGGGAAGAAAAUGCGCCUGGCUUUCCAGCUCUCCUCUCCUUAAAAAUGCCCUCGCGGAGCCACCGCACACAGAACCCCGGCAGCAAAGAAUUUUGCAGAGAAGGGUUCGCCGACCCGGAGCGGAGCAGUGAAAUCGGCGCCCAAGGGCAAUUUUAAUUGUCUAACCCGGCUCGAUUUCCUAAGAGGCGGCAGCGCGGGGAGGAGAGGGAAGAGGCAGGCAGCUCCGACAGGCAACAGGGGCAAGCGGCGGCAGAGAAAGGGGAUCCCAACGGCAAGACCCCAGCCCCGGCGCCCGACGAGCUUCCGCCGAAAGGACUCCGAGGUUACCCCACUGUUCCCCGGGAGACGUCUGCAAAUCAUAUAUGCAGCCAAAAUGGCGCUGAGAAUAAAAAUAUAAUUUAAAGGCGGGUCGCCAUAUUGUAAACAG